This 1755-nucleotide long non-coding RNA is filed under the name Junco hyemalis (dark-eyed junco). Its description in RNAcentral is "lncRNA (ENSJHYG00000010270.1)". Lineage: Eukaryota; Metazoa; Chordata; Aves; Passeriformes; Passerellidae. The record is from RNAcentral.
CAUCUUCCUACUAAGUACUGAUAUUUCCUCAGCCAAGAGAGCUUAAUAAAAGCUGAGAAUACACUUUAUUACAUUAAUUUCAUACAGCACAAUUCCUUGUAGCAAUAUGAAAACAAGUUGUUGAAUGUGUGACAGGGUAAUUCACUGAGCACUAAAGGAAAUUGCUAAAAACAAAAAGAAAUUUGUUAUACUCUAAGCUCUCAGUGACAUAUGAGAGCUCCAGUAUUCUGCUGGGAAAAAUGGUCAGCAGCCUUGCGCUGACAUAUGUUAGGUAUCUCUAUUCCCUGAAAUGCAGGUUUGGAUUGACUGAAACUAUCUGAGGCUUUAGGUUAAAUUCCUAGCAAUGUUUUCACUCAAGAAUAUGAAGGAAGCAUUUGAAAAGCCAGACUAUUUAAUUUCAACAUUUUUCUGCAGAAACUCCUUUCAUUUUUAAUUUUUUGGUUUUUUAACUUUCCUUCAGAACACUGCGUGUCUAAAUCUGCCUCAGUCCAGUGACGGGAAGAGAAAGCAACGCCCAAGCCCAGUGUUUGGAGCAUCUCCUCCUCUUUGUCUCUCUCUGCUCAGGCAGAACAGGACGGCAUCUCCUCUGACUCCCUCUGUUUGUCCUCUCCUGCCAGUGGCACUGCAGUUACCUGCAAUGAUCAGUGCAGAGACAACACUGUGGCUGCCAGUGCUUAUGGAGACCUAUUUCACCGUGAAAUACAGGCUCAAAGGCAAGCUAAAACAGAGCCAGCACCUCUUAAAAUCACUGGGGACUUUUGCAAAGACAGAUCAGGGAUUCAGUGAUAGGGCUCCCUCCCCCUGUCCCCACGGUCAGGCUAGGUACCCUUGAGAAAACUGAGUACUCUGCUUAUAUACUGCUGGAAUCUUAAAUAAGCCACUACAUGGCCUAUUUCAUUUUAUGUUAUACAGGAAUUGCAGCUGCAGACAAAUUGGAGAAAACUUUGCUUUGACUAAUGAAGCUUAUCAUGUAUAUUGGGUCUGCAGGAAGAAGAAAGGAAGAUGUAUCACUGGGGGAUGGAACUCAGCUUCAAAGAGGUAUUCCCUGCAGGAUCUGUGGGUGGAGGGAUUCCUUUGGCAAUGUGGCUGUUCCCAGCUGGCAGCAAGAGCCAGCAAACACCUCUGGAGGGACGGGAGAUGUGCUGCCCCAGCCAACACUGAGAUUGCAACCUCACCUACACAGGUCUUCAGCUGUGACGCUGUUCUGCUGGAGCUGCUGUUGGAGAUCAGCAGUAUCAAAAAAGGACAGCAAAAUCAGAUUUAGACAAAUCUUAUUAGCUAUUAUUUAAUUUGUUAGUUUAUUGUGUCUAGUACCAUACAUGUGAGCCAGAAGAGUAGAGCGUGUUUUCAAGUGAGAAGCUCAUGCAGGACUGACACAAUUAUUGAACGUGGCUUUUAAUAGCAAUACAAUUAGAAAGAAGUUUAAUGAAUACAAAUCCUUUCUUAAAUGUUGCUACAAAGUAUGCUGACUUAGCUAUAGAUAAAUCAUACAUAUAUGUACUUUAUAAUAUAUAUGUAUAAAUUGGGAGAAACAAGAUACAAUCAUUCAACAAAAUUUGAACUUUCCCUUUUUUAUGUUCUUGCCCUCAUUAGAUUCCAAAGAGAUGGAGAUUUCUUUGCCUUUAUUUUUGUGAAAGCUUAUAAAAUAUAAGUGAAUAACCCAGCAAUCCCAGAUUUAAAUUCCUUGUUAAGUAGAUAAGUUCUUUAUUCUUAAAGUGAAAUAAAAUUAAGAAAGGCUGAGAUUUAAGAAUUGCA